Molecule: ribosomal RNA, 1393 nt
Filed under: Trichogramma chilonis
Lineage: Eukaryota; Metazoa; Arthropoda; Insecta; Hymenoptera; Trichogrammatidae
Description: 16S ribosomal RNA
Source: RNAcentral
AAUUUAAAAUAAUUAUAUUUAUAUUUUAUAUAAAUUAUAUAAAUAAUUUAUGUUUUAAAAAUUUUUAGUUUAAAUUUUUUAUUAUUAUUAUAUAUUAUUUUAUUAAAAAUAUUUAUAAUAUUUUUAUUUUUAGUAUUUAUUUUAGAAAAAAAAAUUAUUUUUAUAUUUUUAGUAUUGUCAAAGAAAAUCAUUAAAUUUUUAAUAAUAAAUUUAAAAUAAUUUUACCUUUUGUAUCAGGGUUUAUUAAAUAAUUUAUUAAAUAUAAUAAAUUCUCGAAAUAAAUUAAUUUAAUUAAAAAAUUUUAAUUAAUAUUUAAUUAUUAUUAAAAAUUUUUAAUUAGAAAUUAUAUAUUUUCAUAAUUUAAUAUCUAGUUAUUUUAUAGAUUAAUUUAAUUAAAAUUGAUUUAUAUACAUAUGUAUAUAUAUAUAUAUACAUAUAUAAAUAUUAUUUAGAUUUUUAAAAAUCAUGAUAAUAAAAUUGGUUUAAUAAUUUUAGGAAUUAACUUAAAAUUAAUUUUAAUAUAGUUUAAAAUAAAAUAUUUUUAUAGAAUUAAAAAUUUUUAUUAAUAAAUAGUAUUUAAUAAUUAAAAAUUAUAUUAAUUAAAAUUUAAAAAAUUAUUUAAUAUUUUAUAAAAUAAUAAUUUUAAAUUAUUAAAAUUUAUUUAUAAUGAUAAAAUUAGUAAAAAAAUAUUUAAAUUAAUUAAUAAUAAUAAUUUAAUUUAAGAAAUUAGGCAAAAUUAAUUAUUCACCUGUUUAUUAAAAACAUGGUUUUUUGAUUAUAAUAAAAAAUCUAAUCUGCUCAAUGAAUAAAAUUUAAAUAGCUGCAGUAUUUUGACUGUACAAAGGUAGCAUAAUCAUUUGUCUUUUUAUUAAGGUCUGGAAUGAAUGAUUGAAUGAAAUAAUAACUGUCUCAAAUUAAUUUUUUGAAAUUAAUUUUAAGUAAAAAUUCUUAAAUUUUUAUAUAAGACGAGAAGACCCUAUAGAAUUUUAUUUUACUAUUUAAAUAGUAAUUUAAAUUAUAUAAUUUUUUAGAUUUGUAAAUUUAAUUGGGGAAAUUAAAAAAUUUAAUAAAAUUUUUGAUUAAAAAACAAAUUAUUUGAAUAAUUAAUCUUUUAAUAAAAAAUUAAAAAUAAAUUACCUUAGGGAUAACAGCAUAAUAUUUUUUGAAAGGCCUUAUUGAUGAAAAUUUUUAUGACCUCGAUGUUGAAUUAAGAUUAAUUUUUAAUGUAGAAAUUAAAUUUAUUAAGUCUGUUCGACUUUUAAAAUCUUACAUGAUUUGAGUUUAGAUCGGCGUGAGCCAGAUCGGAUUCUAUCUAUAUAAAUAUAAAAUAUUUUUGUACGAAAGGACUUAAUAUUUUAAAUAAUUUAUUUAAAAUUAAUAAUUUUAAUAUCUA